AUGUUAUCACGGGAGACACACGGCGGGUGCUAACGUCCGUCGUGAAGAGGGAAACAACCCAGACCGCCAGCUAAGGUCCCAAAGUCAUGGUUAAGUGGGAAACGAUGUGGGAAGGCCCAGACAGCCAGGAUGUUGGCUUAGAAGCAGCCAUCAUUUAAAGAAAGCGUAAUAGCUCACUGGUCGAGUCGGCCUGCGCGGAAGAUGUAACGGGGCUAAACCAUGCACCGAAGCUGCGGCAGCGACACUGUGUGUUGUUGGGUAGGGGAGCGUUCUGUAAGCCUGUGAAGGUGUGCUGUGAGGCAUGCUGGAGGUAUCAGAAGUGCGAAUGCUGACAUAAGUAACGAUAAAGCGGGUGAAAAGCCCGCUCGCCGGAAGACCAAGGGUUCCUGUCCAACGUUAAUCGGGGCAGGGUGAGUCGACCCCUAAGGCGAGGCCGAAAGGCGUAGUCGAUGGGAAACAGGUUAAUAUUCCUGUACUUGGUGUUACUGCGAAGGGGGGACGGAGAAGGCUAUGUUGGCCGGGCGACGGUUGUCCCGGUUUAAGCGUGUAGGCUGGUUUUCCAGGCAAAUCCGGAAAAUCAAGGCUGAGGCGUGAUGACGAGGCACUACGGUGCUGAAGCAACAAAUGCCCUGCUUCCAGGAAAAGCCUCUAAGCAUCAGGUAACAUCAAAUCGUACCCCAAACCGACACAGGUGGUCAGGUAGAGAAUACCAAGGCGCUUGAGAGAACUCGGGUGAAGGAACUAGGCAAAAUGGUGCCGUAACUUCGGGAGAAGGCACGCUGAUAUGUAGGUGAAGUCCCUCGCGGAUGGAGCUGAAAUCAGUCGAAGAUACCAGCUGGCUGCAACUGUUUAUUAAAAACACAGCACUGUGCAAACACGAAAGUGGACGUAUACGGUGUGACGCCUGCCCGGUGCCGGAAGGUUAAUUGAUGGGGUCAGCGCAAGCGAAGCUCUUGAUCGAAGCCCCGGUAAACGGCGGCCGUAACUAUAACGGUCCUAAGGUAGCGAAAUUCCUUGUCGGGUAAGUUCCGACCUGCACGAAUGGCGUAAUGAUGGCCAGGCUGUCUCCACCCGAGACUCAGUGAAAUUGAACUCGCUGUGAAGAUGCAGUGUACCCGCGGCAAGACGGAAAGACCCCGUGAACCUUUACUAUAGCUUGACACUGAACAUUGAGCCUUGAUGUGUAGGAUAGGUGGGAGGCUUUGAAGUGUGGACGCCAGUCUGCAUGGAGCCGACCUUGAAAUACCACCCUUUAAUGUUUGAUGUUCUAACGUGGACCCGUGAUCCGGGUUGCGGACAGUGUCUGGUGGGUAGUUUGACUGGGGCGGUCUCCUCCUAAAGAGUAACGGAGGAGCACGAAGGUUGGCUAAUCCUGGUCGGACAUCAGGAGGUUAGUGCAAUGGCAUAAGCCAGCUUGACUGCGAGCGUGACGGCGCGAGCAGGUGCGAAAGCAGGUCAUAGUGAUCCGGUGGUUCUGAAUGGAAGGGCCAUCGCUCAACGGAUAAAAGGUACUCCGGGGAUAACAGGCUGAUACCGCCCAAGAGUUCAUAUCGACGGCGGUGUUUGGCACCUCGAUGUCGGCUCAUCACAUCCUGGGGCUGAAGUAGGUCCCAAGGGUAUGGCUGUUCGCCAUUUAAAGUGGUACGCGAGCUGGGUUUAGAACGUCGUGAGACAGUUCGGUCCCUAUCUGCCGUGGGCGCUGGAGAACUGAGGGGGGCUGCUCCUAGUACGAGAGGACCGGAGUGGACGCAUCACUGGUGUUCGGGUUGUCAUGCCAAUGGCACUGCCCGGUAGCUAAAUGCGGAAGAGAUAAGUGCUGAAAGCAUCUAAGCACGAAACUUGCCCCGAGAUGAGUUCUCCCUGACCCUUUAAGGGUCCUGAAGGAACGUUGAAGACGACGACGUUGAUAGGCCGGGUGUGUAAGCGCAGCGAUGCGUUGAGCUAACCGGUACUAAUGAACCGUGAGGCUUAACCUU
Molecule: ribosomal RNA, 1976 nt
Filed under: Escherichia coli
Lineage: Bacteria; Pseudomonadati; Pseudomonadota; Gammaproteobacteria; Enterobacterales; Enterobacteriaceae
Also listed under: 1 other name
Description: partial 23S ribosomal RNA
Rfam family: Bacterial large subunit ribosomal RNA
Source: RNAcentral